CUACGGGAGGCACCAGUGAGGAAUUUUGCGCAAUGGGGGCAACCCUGACGCAGCAACGCCGCGUGAGUGAAGAAGGCCUUUGGGUCGUAAAGCUCUGUCGACAGGGAAGAAGUUAUUAUUGUUUAACAGAUGACAGUAUUGACGGUACCUGUAGAGGAAGCACCGGCUAACUCCGUGCCAGCAGCCGCGGUAAUACGGGGGGUGCAAGCGUUAUUCGGAAUUAUUGGGCGUAAAGGGCGCGUAGGCGGUCUUGUCGGUCAGAUGUGAAAGCCCAGGGCUCAACCCUGGACGUGCAUUUGAAACAGCAAGACUUGAGUACGGGAGAGGAAAGCGGAAUUCCUGGUGUAGAGGUGAAAUUCGUAGAUAUCAGGAGGAACACCGAUGGCGAAGGCAGCUUUCUGGACCGAUACUGACGCUGAGGCGCGAAGGCGUGGGGAGCGAACGGGAUUAGAUACCCGCGUAGUC
RNAcentral lists this ribosomal RNA (465 nucleotides) under uncultured bacterium. Its description in RNAcentral is "partial 16S ribosomal RNA". It matches the Rfam family "Bacterial small subunit ribosomal RNA", at positions 339 to 795 of the family's 1533-position model. The record is from RNAcentral.